UACGAAGGGGGCUAGCGUUGCUCGGAAUCACUGGGCGUAAAGGGUGCGUAGGCGGGUCUUUAAGUCAGGGGUGAAAUCCUGGAGCUCAACUCCAGAACUGCCUUUGAUACUGUAGAUCUUGAGUUCGGGAGAGGUGAGUGGAACUGCGAGUGUAGAGGUGAAAUUCGUAGAUAUUCGCAAGAACACCAGUGGCGAAGGCGGCUCACUGGCCCGAUACUGACGCUGAGGCACGAAAGCGUGGGGAGCAAACAGG
Molecule: ribosomal RNA, 253 nt
Filed under: uncultured bacterium
Lineage: Bacteria
Description: partial 16S ribosomal RNA
Rfam family: Bacterial small subunit ribosomal RNA
Source: RNAcentral